RNAcentral lists this unclassified non-coding RNA (327 nucleotides) under soil metagenome. Its description in RNAcentral is "partial contains 5.8S ribosomal RNA, internal transcribed spacer 2, and large subunit ribosomal RNA". The stretch from base 1 to 120 matches the Rfam family "5.8S ribosomal RNA", at positions 35 to 154 of the family's 154-position model. The record is from RNAcentral.
GAUGAAGAACGCAGCGAAAUGCGAUAAGUAAUGUGAAUUGCAGAAUUCAGUGAAUCAUCGAAUCUUUGAACGCACAUUGCGCCCCUUGGUAUUCCGAGGGGCAUGCCUGUUCGAGCGUCAUUUUGACCACUCCCGCUUGCGGGGUCUUGGGCCUUCGCCUCUGGGCGGGCCUUAAAAUCAGUGGCGGUGCCGUCCGGCUCUAAGCGUAGUAAAUCUCCUCGCUAUAGGGUUCCGGAGGGAUGCUGGCCAACAACCCCCAACUUUUAAGGUUGACCUCGGAUCAGGUAGGGAAACCCGCUGAACUUAAGCAUAUCAAUAAGCGGAGGA